RNAcentral lists this ribosomal RNA (497 nucleotides) under uncultured bacterium. RNAcentral describes it as "partial 16S ribosomal RNA". It matches the Rfam family "Bacterial small subunit ribosomal RNA", at positions 28 to 507 of the family's 1533-position model. The record is from RNAcentral.
GAUGAACGCUGGCGGCGUGCCUAAUACAUGCAAGUCGAGCGAACAGACGAUGAGCUUGCUCCUCUGACGUUAGCGGCGGACGGGUGAGUAACACGUGGAUAACCUACCUAUAAGACUGGGAUAACUUCGGGAAACCGGAGCUAAUACCGGAUAAUAUAUUGAACCGCAUGGUUCAAUAGUGAAAGACGGUUUUGCUGUCACUUAUAGAUGGAUCCGCGCCGCAUUAGCUAGUUGGUAAGGUAACGGCUUACCAAGGCGACGAUGCGUAGCCGACCUGAGAGGGUGAUCGGCCACACUGGAACUGAGACACGGUCCAGACUCCUACGGGAGGCAGCAGUAGGGAAUCUUCCGCAAUGGGCGAAAGCCUGACGGAGCAACGCCGCGUGCGUGAUGAAGGUCUUCGGAUCGUAAAACUCUGUUAUUAGGGAAGAACAAAUGUGUAAGUAACUAUGCACGUCUUGACGGUACCUAAUCAGAAAGCCACGGCUAACUACGUG